UCAACAAAUGUUCACAAUUGACUUCCAC
This 28-nucleotide small RNA is filed under the name Bombyx mori (domestic silkworm). RNAcentral's name for it is "ovarian small RNA-24528". The record is from RNAcentral. Lineage: Eukaryota; Metazoa; Arthropoda; Insecta; Lepidoptera; Bombycidae.